CCUACGGGUGGCAGCAGUGAGGAAUAUUGGUCAAUGGGCGGAAGCCUGAACCAGCCAAGUCGCGUGAGGGAUUAAGGCCCUGCGGGUCGUAAACCUCUUUUGCCGGGGAGCAGUGGUCCGGACGCGUCCGGACCGGGAGAGUACCCGGAGCAAAAGCAUCGGCUAACUCCGUGCCAGCAGCCGCGGUAAUACGGAGGAUGCGAGCGUUAUCCGGAUUUAGUGGGUUUAAAGGGAGCGUAGGCCGGCUUUUAAGUCAGCUGUGAAAGUCCGCGGCUCAACCGUGGAAUUGCAGUUGAAACUGGAGGCCUUGAGUGCACACAGGGAUGCCGGAAUUCAUGGUGUAGCGGUGAAAUGCUUAGAUAUCAUGAAGAACUCCGAUCGCGAAGGCAAGUGUCCGGGGUGCAACUGACGCUGAGGCUCGAAAGUGCGGGUAUCAAACAGGAUUAGAUACCCCAGUAGUC
RNAcentral lists this ribosomal RNA (461 nucleotides) under uncultured bacterium. RNAcentral describes it as "partial 16S ribosomal RNA". It matches the Rfam family "Bacterial small subunit ribosomal RNA", at positions 338 to 795 of the family's 1533-position model. The record is from RNAcentral.